Medicago truncatula (barrel medic) is the source of this 279-nucleotide microRNA precursor. It matches the Rfam family "MIR2655 microRNA precursor family". The record is from Rfam. NCBI's taxonomy places the organism in Eukaryota, Viridiplantae, Streptophyta, Magnoliopsida, Fabales, Fabaceae.
CCCUUAACUAUUAAAAGUUUUGUUUUGGUCUUUUAACUUACUUUUUGGUUUCGUUUUGGUCCCUUAACUUAUUUUUUGGUUUCAUUUUAGUCCCUUAACUCUAAUACAUUCAUCCUAACAUAAAGGACCAAAGUGGUUGACGAAGGAAGAGUUAAGGGACCAAAACGAAACCAAAAAGUAAGUUAAAAGACCAAAACGAAACUUUUAAUAGUUAAGGGACCAAAACGAAACCAAAAAGUAAGUUAAGGGACCAAAACGAAACUUUUAAUAGUUAAGGGA